This 74-nucleotide transfer RNA is filed under the name Pleurobranchaea novaezealandiae. Its description in RNAcentral is "tRNA-Lys". The record is from RNAcentral. Lineage: Eukaryota; Metazoa; Mollusca; Gastropoda; Pleurobranchida; Pleurobranchidae.
GUUUUGGUGACUGAGAAUAAGUGAUAGAUUUUUAAUCUAUAAACAGGACAAAGAAUAAAGGUCCUUCAAAACAC